AAUAAGUAAAAAAAAAAGAUCCACCCAUCUAUUAUUAUCAGUGAGGGUUAUAUAAUGAUAAUAUCACUUUUAGGAAAUGUUACACAAUCAUUUUUUGUUUAAUAAAAUUAACACAUUUUAUGACUUUUUGGUCUAUUGUUUGUGUUCUCAAAGAAUAGCCUUGAAAGUUACUUAGUAAUAGCUACAGUAUAAUAUUGUGGCCUUUAGUUUCCAUUUCAUAGACAAUCUUAAAACACUAUGUGCCUUGUGUUACUUCAAUUGUGCUUUCCAUUUUCUGAGACAGGGGCUGAAAAAUAUUUAAUUAAGAAGACACAAAUCCUGAGCAAACACACACCAUGCUGUGUCCUUUAUCAAUGUUGAUCUUUUCCUGGGGCUGGGGGUCUAGUUUUAUUUUGGGGCAGUGUUAAGGAUGUCUGGAGAUCACUGGCAAGCAAUAUGUAUUCUCAGGGCCAAACUAAUCUAAUCCAAUGUGAAUCUUGAAACAAAAGGAACACUGUUUCAAAAUGAUAACUGGAAUUUCUAAGUACUUUUAUGUUUAGAUUGUCACCUACUUCAGUUGCUGGAGAAGUUUCAAAAGGUACAUUCUGUGGUUAUAUUAAGCACAGGCUUCAGAAGAACUGGCCAGAAAACAGGAGUCAAAUCGUCAGUGACAGGGUCUCCAUCUACCCCUAAAAGAGUAUCUUCAGCCAGCAUGGUGGCCCAAGCCUGUGAUCUCAUCACUUCAGGAGCCUGAGGCUAUGGGGAUGGGUAGGAGCUUGUGUGGAUAGGGAAUGGGGGGAGAAGAGAGAAGGAAAGAGGAAGUUGUGUACCACUCUUUUGUAAGUUUCAGGGGGAAGAAGAAAUGGGUUCCCGAAUUCAACCAUAUGUCUUCUUGAAGGAAACUAAAGAUAUAAUAAGCAGAUCUUGCUACACAUUGCAGCACUUACUGUUUUCUGUUUGAGUGGACUGAUGCCCUAUCCAUUGCCUUCCCAGGAAAAGUCUUUUUUCCCCCCUCUGAUCUGGCUGUUCAUGAGUGCUGUCCUUUGCCUCUCUUAGUUAGGGCUGGGUGAAACCCGUCAGGCUCACAUCCAUGGCUUUGAUUGUCUCUCUUUUUACUUCCUGUAUUGGAUGUUUCUCACGUUUUCAAUUGUAUUUAUGCUUAAUUUUCCAAACAUCUCUGUUCUGAACAGAGAAAAAUAUCUUAUUUGGAUAUAUACCCUAAAUAGUGAUAAUAAUAAGUUAUUAUUACAGUAACGCGCAUUUACCGAGCACUUACUGUGUGGCACGUGCACCAUGUUCCCUCCCACUUUGUUUCAUUGCAGCAGCUUUUUUUUCCCCCAGGAUGCUCUUCAUCCUGCUGCCCUUUCUUAACCCUUACUUAUACCUUAGGCCUCUGCUGACUGGGAAUUUCUCAAGAAAUUCUUGCAAAGUCCCUCACGGCAUCAUGAACUGCUCCUUCCUUGCUUACAUCACAAUUGUAGCUUGGCUUUUAUUUAUGGGUAGGCUUCAUACACCACUGCACUCGGGAUCUGCCUUCCACUCAUCUUCCCACUGAUCCUCCCCAUCCCUGCCCACCUUCUUUUUCCAUUAGCCCAAGACAACUGACAACAUGAUAUACGUGGCAGGCGAGACCACCAGGUGAGGUAAGAAGGUAUUCCCAAGACAACUCCCACAAAAUUUGGGGGAUGUUAUGAGUGGUGGGAACCCAUGGAAAGUGGUAGAAGAAUCACUGUCCAUGUGGUGGAUUUAAAGCAUUUCAAGGCUCCCCAGAGCACAGAGCUUGCAUGUUGCUCAAGCAUGGUCCUUAAUUAGGGGCUGCAAGAAAGAUGCAAACCUGGACAUUAAGCCAUUCCAUAAUGAUCAGGGUGACCCAAGGAUGACUGAAGGGCCUGCAUGAAUAUUUUUCUUUAUAUACAAUCUCUGAGCCCUCACAGAUCAGUGGUGUGAGGGGAGGGUGGG
RNAcentral lists this long non-coding RNA (1938 nucleotides) under Homo sapiens (human). Its description in RNAcentral is "HSALNT0264112". Lineage: Eukaryota; Metazoa; Chordata; Mammalia; Primates; Hominidae. The record is from RNAcentral.